GCAGCCGUGACCCUGCUGGAGUGCGGGGGAGACCUUCAGCCCCCCGGGGGGUCCCUGACUCUGCUCUGCCGAGGGUCUGGGUUCAAUUUUGGGAGUUACUACAUGCAGUGGGUUCGCCGGAGCCCCGGGAAGGCGCUGGAAUGGAUUGCAGGGAUCAGCAGCAGUGGUGGCAGCAUGUACUAUGCACCGUCGGUGCAGGGCCGGUUCACGAUCUCCAGGGACAACGGGCAGAGCUCGGUGACGCUGACCAUGAACAACCUCAAGGACGAGGAUUCCGGUGUUUAUUUCUGUGGCAAACGUGAUAAUGGUAAUGCUGGUGCUGAUGCCAGAGCUGGUUCUGUCCCACCCCAGCUGCUCUGA
Catharus ustulatus (Swainson's thrush) is the source of this 360-nucleotide non-coding RNA. The record is from the annotation of a RefSeq genome assembly. Lineage: Eukaryota; Metazoa; Chordata; Aves; Passeriformes; Turdidae.